UCCAACCCCAGAGAAGAGCA
This 20-nucleotide transfer RNA is filed under the name Aethopyga primigenia. Its description in RNAcentral is "partial tRNA-Gly". The record is from RNAcentral. Lineage: Eukaryota; Metazoa; Chordata; Aves; Passeriformes; Nectariniidae.